RNAcentral lists this ribosomal RNA (253 nucleotides) under uncultured bacterium. RNAcentral's name for it is "partial 16S ribosomal RNA". It matches the Rfam family "Bacterial small subunit ribosomal RNA", at positions 524 to 776 of the family's 1533-position model. The record is from RNAcentral.
UACGGGGGGGGCAAGCGUUGUUCGGAAUUACUGGGCGUAAAGGGCUCGUAGGUGGCCAACUAAGUCAGACGUGAAAUCCCUCGGCUUAACCGGGGAACUGCGUCUGAUACUGGAUGGCUUGAGUUUGGGAGAGGGAUGCGGAAUUCCAGGUGUAGCGGUGAAAUGCGUAGAUAUCAGGAGGAACACCGGUGGCGAAGGCGGCUACCUGGACAGAGUCUGACGCUGAGGCACGAAAGCUAGGGGAGCAAACAGG